RNAcentral lists this ribosomal RNA (496 nucleotides) under uncultured bacterium. RNAcentral describes it as "partial 16S ribosomal RNA". It matches the Rfam family "Bacterial small subunit ribosomal RNA", at positions 30 to 507 of the family's 1533-position model. The record is from RNAcentral.
CUGACCGCUGGCGGCGUGCCUAAUACAUGCAAGUCGAGCGAACAGACGAGGAGCUUGCUCCUCUGACGUUAGCGGCGGACGGGUGAGUAACACGUGGAUAACCUACCUAUAAGACUGGGAUAACUUCGGGAAACCGGAGCUAAUACCGGAUAAUAUAUUGAACCGCAUGGUUCAAUAGUGAAAGACGGUUUUGCUGUCACUUAUAGAUGGAUCCGCGCCGCAUUAGCUAGUUGGUAAGGUAACGGCUUACCAAGGCAACGAUGCGUAGCCGACCUGAGAGGGUGAUCGGCCACACUGGAACUGAGACACGGUCCAGACUCCUACGGGAGGCAGCAGUAGGGAAUCUUCCGCAAUGGGCGAAAGCCUGACGGAGCAACGCCGCGUGAGUGAUGAAGGUCUUCGGAUCGUAAAACUCUGUUAUUAGGGAAGAACAAAUGUGUAAGUAACUAUGCACGUCUUGACGGUACCUAAUCAGAAAGCCACGGCUAACUACGUG